This 1034-nucleotide long non-coding RNA is filed under the name Equus caballus (horse). Its description in RNAcentral is "lncRNA (ENSECAG00000052064.1)". The record is from RNAcentral. Lineage: Eukaryota; Metazoa; Chordata; Mammalia; Perissodactyla; Equidae.
CCCAGGUAUAAGAAAUCAGCGGCUGAGCUUGUAAAGGAACCACAGCUUUCAAACUCUGACACGAACGCUCCAUCAACUCACCAGGUUGCCUCACUUACUACCUAAGAGAAAUCAUCAGGGAGGCUUCCCACACGCCUCUCCGCAGCGAGUCCCAGGGUCUGAGGUGAGGCUGCCUCCUGAAGAAGGCAGUAAUGUCAUGCUGAGGAGGGAAGAAGACGGGGUCUUCAAUUGCGCCGCCUGGGCUGGUGCUCCAGCUCUGCUGUUUGCUAGCCGUGUGGCUUGGGACAAAUUACUGAAAUUCUUUCUCUCUCAGGUUCCUAAUCUGUAAAAAGGGAGAUAAUACUCAUGCCCAACUCCUAGUUUUGCGAAUAUCAAAGAAAUGGAAAGUGCUUUGCUCACUGCCUGGAAAAAAAGAGCUUAACAUGUCUAUACAUUUUCUCAUUUUGUUUUGAAGCUCACAUUGUUUGCUUCUUAAUUUCUUUAGCAUAAAACCACCUAGAAUAAAACACGGAGAUUCUUAUGAAAGGCAAAAGUAGACACUUUUGUUUGAGGAAGAUUGGCCCUGAGCCAACAUCCGUGCCACUUCUUUUAUUUUGUAUGUUACUGAGCGGUGUGUAAGUCCGGGCCCGGGAUCCAAACCCGCAAACCCCAGUUGGUGGAAGACGAGCACUGGAAUUUAACCACUAUGCCAUGGGGCCUGCCCAAAAGUGAACACUUCUGAGUGUGAUUAGAUACACCAGAGAAGAUGUAGGUAAUCCUAAUGAGCAUCAUCAAAUGGCUAACCACAUUUGUUUUUCCAAAAACUUAGAAAUUCAAAAUUAAGGAAUGAGACUAGAAUAAAGCUGAAACUUACAAGGAAUUGCUGUGAAGCCCGGUUCCCCAUAGUAACCAGGUAGCCAGGAGCUCUUCAGGAGAAGGAACCAGACUAAGGCAAUGUGUCUUUGUUACAGUUAGUUCCAUCACUGCCAUUACCACCAGCAUGUUUUUUUAAAACAGAGAAUUUUAAAAAAAGACUCAAUUCUGUUAAAAAUUGG